This 574-nucleotide ribosomal RNA is filed under the name uncultured bacterium. Its description in RNAcentral is "bacterial SSU rRNA". It matches the Rfam family "Bacterial small subunit ribosomal RNA", at positions 917 to 1482 of the family's 1533-position model. The record is from RNAcentral.
GGGCCUGCACAAGCGGUGGAGUAUGUGGCUUAAUUCGAUGCAACGCGAAGAACCUUACCUGGCCUUGACAUGUUGGUAGUAGAAGCCUGAAAGGGUAACGAGGUAGCAAUACCAGCCUACACAGGUGCUGCAUGGCUGUCGUCAGCUCGUGUCGUGAGAUGUUGGGUUAAGUCCCGCAACGAGCGCAACCCUUGUGUCCUGUUGCCACUCGAACGAGAGUUCGAAGCACUCUGGACAGACUGCCUCGUCUAAACGAGGAGGAAGGUGGGGAUGACGUCAAGUCAGUAUGGCCCUUACGGCCAGGGCUGCACACGUACUACAAUGCCCGGCACAGAGGGAAGCAAGACUGCAAAGUGGAGCAAAUCCCAAAAACCGGGCCCAGUUCAGAUUGUCGUCUGCAACUCGACGACAUGAAGCUGGAAUCGCUAGUAAUGGCGCAUCAGCUACGGCGCCGUGAAUACGUUCCCAGGCCUUGUACACACCGCCCGUCACAUCAUGAAAGCCGUUUGUACCCGAAGUCCAUGUGCUAACCGCAAGGGAGCAGUGGCCGAAGGUAUGGAUGGUGAUUGGGAUG